AGGUCUAGUAUAGCACUUUAUACUGUGAACUGCGAAUGGCUCAUUAAAUCAGUUAUCGUUUAUUUGAUAGUACCUUACUACAUGGAUACCUGUGGUAAUUCUAGAGCUAAUACAUGCUAAAAACCCCGACUUCGGAAGGGGUGUAUUUAUUAGAUAAAAAACCAAUGCCCUUCGGGGCUCCUUGGUGAUUCAUAAUAACUUAACGAAUCGCAUGGCCUUGCGCCGGCGAUGGUUCAUUCAAAUUUCUGCCCUAUCAACUUUCGAUGGUAGGAUAGUGGCCUACCAUGGUGGCAACGGGUAACGGGGAAUUAGGGUUCGAUUCCGGAGAGGGAGCCUGAGAAACGGCUACCACAUCCAAGGAAGGCAGCAGGCGCGCAAAUUACCCAAUCCCGACACGGGGAGGUAGUACAAUAAAUACUGAUACGGGGCUCUUUUGGGUCUCGUAAUUGGAAUGAGUACAAUUUAAAUCCCUUAACGAGGAACAAUUGGAGGGCAAGUCUGGUGCCAGCA
Molecule: ribosomal RNA, 510 nt
Filed under: Aspergillus sp. 6C2
Lineage: Eukaryota; Fungi; Ascomycota; Eurotiomycetes; Eurotiales; Aspergillaceae
Description: SSU rRNA
Rfam family: Eukaryotic small subunit ribosomal RNA
Source: RNAcentral